Molecule: non-coding RNA, 23 nt
Filed under: Arabidopsis thaliana (thale cress)
Lineage: Eukaryota; Viridiplantae; Streptophyta; Magnoliopsida; Brassicales; Brassicaceae
Source: RNAcentral
AAUAUCUCUGUGGGUUGAUGCGU